This 71-nucleotide transfer RNA is filed under the name Pseudomonas syringae pv. syringae. RNAcentral describes it as "tRNA-Gly". It matches the Rfam family "tRNA". From Rfam's summary of the family: Transfer RNA (tRNA) molecules are approximately 80 nucleotides in length. Lineage: Bacteria; Pseudomonadati; Pseudomonadota; Gammaproteobacteria; Pseudomonadales; Pseudomonadaceae. RNAcentral also lists the same sequence under 1 other name. The record is from RNAcentral.
GCGGGUAUAGUUUAGUGGUAAAACGAAAGCUUCCCAAGCUUUAGUUGAGGGUUCUUAUUGGACUGCCCGCU